This 254-nucleotide ribosomal RNA is filed under the name uncultured bacterium. RNAcentral's name for it is "partial 16S ribosomal RNA". It matches the Rfam family "Bacterial small subunit ribosomal RNA", at positions 524 to 776 of the family's 1533-position model. The record is from RNAcentral.
UACGUAGGGGCCUAGCGUUGUCCGGAUUUAUUGGGCGUAAAGAGCUCGUAGGCGGUUCGGUAAGUCAGGUGUGAAAUCUCCACGCUCAACGUGGAGGCACCACCUGAAACUGCCGUGACUCGAGUCCGGUAGGGGAGUGUGGAAUUCCUGGUGUAGCGGUGAAAUGCGCAGAUAUCAGGAGGAACACCAGUGGCGAAGGCGGCACUCUGGGCCGGUACUGACGCUGAGGAGCGAAAGCGUGGGGAGCGAACAGG